This is a long non-coding RNA of Oncorhynchus tshawytscha (Chinook salmon), 1031 nucleotides long. The record is from Ensembl. NCBI's taxonomy places the organism in Eukaryota, Metazoa, Chordata, Actinopteri, Salmoniformes, Salmonidae.
CAGGAAGUGAGUGAAUUGAAUGAGGAAAUCCAGGAAAGCAGAACAUCAGACAGCAAGGAAGAGAGGGGAGCAGACAGGACAGAGCGCGAACACAGGAGAAGAUCUAGGGGAGGCCCACACAAGACAAACAUGGCAUAUUCCUCUCAAGCCAAAAGUAGUCCUUGCUAAACAUUACCUCUCAAAGAAAGUAAAGGUGCCACUUCUGACAUGUGCUGUGUACAUAAAUUGUUAAGCCCUGAUAUGUUCCUAUCACUGAAAGCAAUCAUACAGGCCGCGCUGACCAUUCCAGUUAGCAGCUGUGAGAGGUCUUUCAGUGUAUUAAGACGCCUACAAACCUGGUUUAGGAGCCCAAUGACCCAAGAUAGAAUGCAUCAUGACAAUGAUAUACAUACUAACACGCUGGGGAAAGAGUGAAGUCAUAGACAGGUUUGCACCUACAGUUUCAUUUUGUUUCAUUUCUAAUCUUGAUGGAUAGACUAACAUCCUGGUACUGUGUUAUAUAACUCACAAACAUUGUGAAUAUUUAGUUGGAGAAAGGGUUGCAUGCUCGUAUGUACAUGUGUGUAAAAUUGUGAAGUGUUGUUCCUACAGGAGUGUUGGAGGGUGUGUAUUUGUUUUUGUGUAAUUAAUUAGGUAGAAAUAUUGUCCUGUAGCUAAUUGACCUUGGAAUAUGUGAUUUAUUACCACACAUGCUAUAAAAUCAUUAUUUUCAAGCGUGUUUGGUGCCUGCGUUUGUAAAUAUUAUCUGCAAAAGUUGUCCCCUCUGCCCCCACUCUAAAUUAUAAUACAAGCCUAUUGCUAAUGUGAGUUCAUGCAGUUUGUGACCGAAAAAUUACAUAUUUACCUGAUUUGCUUGAUAUUAAUAGUUAACAAUUAUAUACUUAACAAAUAGUAAGACAUUUCUGUUCUAUUAAAUGCUGUGUUUCUGUAAAGGGAUGGUUUUCACUCUAGCUUCAUGCAGCUAAUCUGGGUGUAUGGUCACUAGAGAUGGCUUGAGUUGACAAAUGAGUUAAAGACUGCAUUCCAUAGAC